ACGAACGCUGGCGGCGUGCUUAACACAUGCAAGUCGAACGGGUCUGCCCUGUUUUUUGCGGGGUGGGUCAGUGGCGAACGGGUGAGUAACACGUGAGUAACCUGCCCCUCACUUCUGGAUAACCGCUUGAAAGGGUGGCUAAUACGGGGUGUUCUGGCUGUGCCGCAUGGUGUGGCUGGGAAAGAUUCACUUUUGUGGUGUUUUGGUGGGGGAUGGGCUCGCGGCCUAUCAGCUUGUUGGUGGGGUGAUGGCCUGCCAAGGCUUUGACGGGUAGCCGGCCUGAGAGGGUGGGCGGUCACACUGGGACUGAGAUACGGCCCAGACUCCUGCGGGAGGCAGCAGUGGGGGGUAUUGCACAAUGGGCGGAAGCCUGAUGCAGCGACGUCGCGGGAGGGAUGGAGGCCUUCGGGUUGUGAACCUCUUUCGCCGGUGAAGAAGGUCCUGCUCUUUGUGGUGGGGUUGACGGUAGCCGGGUUAUGAAGCGCCGGCUAACUACGUG
RNAcentral lists this ribosomal RNA (499 nucleotides) under uncultured bacterium. Its description in RNAcentral is "partial 16S ribosomal RNA". It matches the Rfam family "Bacterial small subunit ribosomal RNA", at positions 29 to 507 of the family's 1533-position model. The record is from RNAcentral.